RNAcentral lists this ribosomal RNA (206 nucleotides) under uncultured bacterium. Its description in RNAcentral is "partial 16S ribosomal RNA". It matches the Rfam family "Bacterial small subunit ribosomal RNA", at positions 568 to 774 of the family's 1533-position model. The record is from RNAcentral.
UGCGUAGGCGGCUGAUUAAGUCGGAUGUGAAAUCCCUGAGCUUAACUUAGGAAUUGCAUUCGAUACUGGUCAGCUAGAGUAUGGGAGAGGAUGGUAGAAUUCCAGGUGUAGCGGUGAAACGCGUAGAGAUCUGGAGGAAUACCGAUGGCGAAGGCAGCCAUCUGGCCUAAUACUGACGCUGAGGUACGAAAGCAUGGGAGCAAACA